This 301-nucleotide ribosomal RNA is filed under the name uncultured bacterium. Its description in RNAcentral is "partial 16S ribosomal RNA". It matches the Rfam family "Bacterial small subunit ribosomal RNA", at positions 509 to 807 of the family's 1533-position model. The record is from RNAcentral.
CAGCAGCCGCGGUAAGACAGAGGAUGCAAGCGUUAUCCGGAAUGAUUGGGCGUAAAGGGCUCGCAGGCGGUUUCUUAAGUCUGAUGUGAAAGCCCCCGGCUCAACCGGGGAGGGUCAUUGGAAACUGGGAAACUUGAGUGCAGAAGAGGAGAGUGGAAUUCCACGUGUAGCGGUGAAAUGCGUAGAGAUGUGGAGGAACACCAGUGGCGAAGGCGACUCUCUGGUCUGUAACUGACGCUGAGGAGCGAAAGCGUGGGGAGCGAACAGGAUUAGAUACCCCGGUAGUCCCUGUCUCUUAUAC